This 337-nucleotide long non-coding RNA is filed under the name Lathyrus oleraceus (garden pea). RNAcentral describes it as "Pisum sativum (pea) long non-coding RNA (PSAT_LNC037868)". Lineage: Eukaryota; Viridiplantae; Streptophyta; Magnoliopsida; Fabales; Fabaceae. The record is from RNAcentral.
UCGGAGUCAUGCUUUUUUGUUGUUAUUGUUUGAGUUUGUGCUUUGAGUUUUCUUAAAUGUUAUUUAGUUGUUGUGAAUAUUUGAGUCGGUAUAAUUGAUUCGGAGUCAUGCUUUUUUGUUGUUAUUGUUUGAGUUUGUGCUUUGAGUUUUCUUAAAUGUUAUUUAGUUGUUGUGAAUAUUUGAGUCGGUAUUAUCGAAUGAGCAAGAUGAACGGGGUAAGGUUUCAUUGUUCCUAUCUUCUUUGUUUUGUUUAUGAGCAUGGUGAUUGAGAGAGGAAGAUUGGGUCAUGUGAGAUAGAGUAAUAUUGAGAAAAAUAGCCAUGAGAAAGAGCAUAUUU